This 321-nucleotide unclassified non-coding RNA is filed under the name plant metagenome. RNAcentral describes it as "partial contains 5.8S ribosomal RNA, internal transcribed spacer 2, and large subunit ribosomal RNA". The stretch from base 1 to 105 matches the Rfam family "5.8S ribosomal RNA", at positions 50 to 154 of the family's 154-position model. The record is from RNAcentral.
GAAAUGCGAUAAGUAAUGUGAAUUGCAUAAUUCAGUGAAUCAUCGAAUCUUUGAACGCACAUUGCGCCUAUUAGUAUUCUAGUAGGCAUGCCUGUUCGAGCGUCAUUUCAACCCUCAAGCCCUGGUUGCUUGGUGUUGGGAGCUUGCUGUGAAACGCAACUCCUCAAAGCUAGCUGGCAGAGUCGGGAUGCACUCUAAGCGUAGUAAACUUGAUAGUCUCGCUUCUGCAGUUGUCCCGGCCGUCUUGCCAUAAAAGCCCAAACUUUUUUUGUUUUCUAUGGUUGACCUCGGAUCAGGUAGGAAUACCCACUGAACUUAAGC